This 4445-nucleotide unclassified non-coding RNA is filed under the name Acyrthosiphon pisum (pea aphid). RNAcentral's name for it is "uncharacterized LOC107884675, transcript variant X2". The record is from RNAcentral. Lineage: Eukaryota; Metazoa; Arthropoda; Insecta; Hemiptera; Aphididae.
UAUUUAUAUUAUUAUAAUGAUAACUUUAAUUAAAAUAUUAAACAUUGAGUCCAACCCAUUCAAAGGUAUUUUAAUUUUCACAUGCUUCGACAACAGCUUUUACCCAUAGUCACAUUUUUGCAAUGUUGGGUCGUAUAUAUGUACUCUUAACGCUUUUUGUACCCUCUACAUUAAGGUAAAAACAAAUAGGAAAUGGUUGUAAAUAAUUUUGCUUUCAAUAGAUGGUAUAAACAUUUUUUCUAACUUUUUUUUUUUCUUCUAGUGAAACGUCCUGCGUUUUUAGAUGUGAUUGAUAUAUCAAGUCACUUAAACUUACAUUAUCCGCACGUAGUGGAAAAAAACCAAAAAGGACAAAAAAAAAGACGCCGUUGUGUUCUGUGUUCUUCUCGAGGUCUUGGACAGAAACGUACUGAUGUGUUUUGUUCUAUUUGCCCCGGUAAACCAGCACUGUGUCCUGGCGCUUGUUUUAUAACUUAUCACUCAACCAAACUUUAAAAUUUGUUAAAUCAUUUAGCAAUAUAACCAUUGGACUCCACUUGUUAAAAAUUGCCAAUGUUUACAAAACUAUUGUCAAAAUAUAUUCAAAAAAACUACCGAUUUUCCUGAUCCAGUUUAUUGUCCAAACAAUUGUGGUCGCUGCUACAAAGGUAUUAGAAGAAAAGGAAAUCUUAACAGACAUGUCAAUUACGAAUGUGGCGCACCAAAAAAAUUCAAAUGUAUUUACUGUUGGAAACGUUUUGUACAAAAAUAUGAUCUUAAGACACAUUAUAUUUAUGUUCAUAAAAACAUAUAGAUCCAAUUGAAUGUCCAAAUUUUUGUGGCAGAUCAUACAAAGGCAAGUUUCAAAAAUAUAGUCUCAGAAGACAUCUUAUUUACGAAUGCGGAGUUGUUCCUCAAUUUGAGUGUCCUGAAUGUCAAAAACGUUUUGCUGAUAAGGGCAGUAUGAAAAGACAUAACAUCUAUUACCAGAUCCUCUAUUCUGUCAGAACAAAUGUGGUCGAUAUUAUACAGGAAAAAAACGUAAAUCAAGUUUAAAGAGACAUUUAACAUAUGAAUGUGGUAUCGAUCCUCAGUUCAAAUGCAUAUAUUGUCCAAAACGUUUUACAGUAAAAACGAACAUGAAGAGACAUGUUCUUUUAAUUCAUAAAGUCCUGGAAUAUGUUUAAGUAUUUGAUACAUACAAACAUUUUUUAUAAAUAAGUCAAAAACUGCUUUACAGGUAUUUUCCGAAAAUUUAAAAAUAUGUUGUUGUGAAUAAAUCAAUUUUCCAGAACUAUUCAUAACUUGAUACUUUGAAAAUUAAUGAUAUUCAUAUUAAGAUUAAUAAUAUAGUUUUAGAUUCAAAAGCAUAUUUUAGCUUCAUAAAAACCAUACCUAAGGUUUAUGAUGAAAAUUUAAAAAUUACUUACACAUAAUAUAUUGUUUAAAUUAUAAAUAAUUUUAAAUAAAUCAUUGAUGUACUAUGACUAGGCAAUUGUUAUUUCUUACCAUUAUUUACUUAUUUACUAAGAUAUUAUUUUAUUAUUAAAAAGCACAUAAAUUAUAUCGAUAAAAAAUUGUCUGCUGUAUGAUGCUAAAUGUACAAGUUAUCUUCGAUUAGGGAAUUUCCAAAUGUCCAAAAUUCAUUGUAUUUUUAUUACUGUUGAAAAAAUGUAUUUAGAAUGAGCUAAAAGCAAUACAAAUGUAUAAACCUUUAAAUACUUUUUUAUAUACAUUUUGUAUUAUAUUUACUUUCAAGAAUAUUAUUAAAUUUAUUAAUGUACAGUAGUUAAAUUGGUAGGUGGAAUUCCAUUUUGAGAUUGGUACAUUGUAGUACUUUGUAAGAUUUUAUAAUUUUGUAAGUGCUCCCCAUGUUAACUAUUUAUUUUUAAACUUGGCUACAUACUGCCAUAGUUCCAUUGUGGUAUCUUAAAACUAUUUAAACAGGAAUUUAUUGUUGACUAUUCUUUAAAGAUAAAUGAUGAAACAAUGAAACCAAUAUUUAUUAUUGCAUUUAUCAAUGUUUUCCUUAUCAAUUAUUAAAUUAUAUCAUGACUAUAAACAAUAAUUUUUUUUUCUUAAAUUGGUUUUUAUAAGUUAUUUUAGUAAUAUAAUUUUCCUUAAUUACUAGGGUUCAGAUUUAAACACAAAUAAUUAAACAAAAAAUAUAUAAAUAAUUGCUAUUUUAUUUCAUUUAUUUCUAUUAAAAUAGAAUAAACCUUAUUUUACAUUUUUAUACUGCUCUUUUUUUGCUUUUUUCACUAUUUAUAAGACCUGGAAAUCUGAACACUACUUAUAUUAUAUAUUCAAUUUAUAAUAUUAUCUUUGAUUUGUUUGUAUCUAGUCUAUUUUUUAAUAUGAUUUAUGUAUUAUUGUUAAUGAUUUAAACACUAAUGUAUUCUUUGCAGAUUUGUAUGCUGGUCAAAGAUUUAAGUGCCCAAAGGAAUGUGGUAAAUCAUACAAGAACAAAUAUACCCUUAAAAGACAUUUAUUUUUUGAAUGUGGUGGUAAAAAAACAUUCUCUUGUAACCUAUGCAGUAAAAAAUUUUCACAGAACACUAAUCUGAAAUCACACUUAGCAUUAAUACAUCAAAUUAUAUCUUAAUUAUUAUUUGAAAAAUGUAUUUUGUUUUAGAUAUAGUUGAAUAUGAAACAUUUUAAUUUGAAAACCAUUCAAUUUUUAAAACAUAUAAAUGAUAUUUAUAGUAUUAAAUAGUACAAUUAAAUUAAAAUAAAAGCUAUAGUGAUCAAUUAGUUUUUGUUCUUUUUACCAGUAAGCAAUUGCCUUCGUGCAGCCCACCAAUAAUAUAAAUUUAAUAUUUCAUUACCAUAUAGUAUAUACUUGUUGCUUGUCCUUAUGUCAUGAUAUGAUGUAAAAAAAUUGUUAACACAAAAACAGGCCACGGGUGGGGCAUCACUGUUUUAUACAGUAGUUGCAUUUAUUGGACCCACAGUUAAAUGAUUCAUUCAUCUGUUGUACUUAAAUAGGCUAAUCCCCUUAUGCACCUACAUUACCACAGUACCACAUAGAAAACAAUUUGUCUAUUGGACUCAAUAUACCGAUUAAUAAGGUUAUGAUAACCAUCAAUCAAAGGAAACUCGUCACUUUUGCCCAAACAAUUGUGGUAAAAGUUAUAAAUUUUCUAACACCUUAAACCGACAUAUACAAUAUGAAUGUGGAGAUUUGCGGAGAUUCCAUUGUCCGUGCUGUUCAAAGGCUUUCAAACAAAAAUCAGCCAUGCAAGGACACGCAGCUACCAUUCAUAAAUGUCUUAUUAAAUAAAUAAAUAUAUAAGUAUAUGAUAUGAUUUAUUAGGUAUACAUUUAACCGAGUAUUUUACAUGUACAUGUAAUACUGUAAUAGUUAUAUAUUUUAUUGAUAUACCUAUUUCUAGAAUAAUGAAAUUUUUAUCAGAUUUAACUAUAACAUACAUAAGCCCCACCUAAUCAUCAAGAAUAAUUUUAUUGUACCACAAUGUCCAAAAAAAAUUGAAUAAUAAUAGAACAAUAAUAUUUUCAGAAGAUACCUACUAUUUAAUUGAUCACAAAUCAGCUGAUAACCCGGUUACUGAUUUGUGUUUGUAAUAAUACGUUAAUACUGUAAUUUGUGUUUUAUGUUUAAGUUUAUAAAGGUUGAAGUAAUGUUAGUGGGCGCCUUUACUCAUGCUAUCAAGCUUUGUAGAUUUGAUGCAUAUUGUGUUUUCUAUAUACAGAUUACAGAUUGUAAAUAUUUGUUUUUCUAAAAAAACAAGUUACUUGUAUUUUAUACAUUCAUCUGGUUUUAAACCUAUUUAUUAUGAAUUAUACUGUAUGACAUUUGUUAUUGAAAAUAUGUAAUUUGCUAUUAAAAAUGGAUAUAAUUUUAGGUUAGAAAUUAUUAUCUAUUUUAUUUUAUAUUAUGCUAUAUAAAUAUGCAAUACUUAAUUAAAAUUAAUAAAUAUAAUUUAGUGCUACUUGAUAAAACCUAUUGUUUUACAAGAAGACUAUUAUUAUUACCAUACAUUAUUUUCUUAUUGUUAUUUUAAUUAUAGGUAUUAAGAAGAUAUCUGUUUGCUAAGUAUUAAAAAUGUAUUUGAUUUUAAUCAAAGUGGUUAUAAAUUUCAAGUUCCCAUAACUAUUAUAAAAAGCAAUUUGCUGUAUUUUGGUUAAUUUGGUUUUAUUAUGUAUCUUAGAUCUAUAUAUAUCAGUACUCAGUAUGUGUACUGUAAGUUGUAACGUACAGUGUAAGUUGUUUAAGUAGUUGAUAUAUUAUCCCAAUAUGACGUAUAUGUAUUAAAUCAAGCCUCAUUAUAUAUUCUAUUAAUAUUUUAUGUUUAUAAUUUAUCUAUGAUAUUAAUCUAAAUCAAAUACUUAUCUGUUAAUUAUAAUUUAUACAUAUCUACUAGUUUCAACACUUAAUAAUUGUAUUUGUUAAAUAAAAUGUAAAAGUAGUUUAUAAAUUAAUAAAUUAUCAUUUUAGAUUCUGA